Molecule: unclassified non-coding RNA, 676 nt
Filed under: Stegodyphus dumicola
Lineage: Eukaryota; Metazoa; Arthropoda; Arachnida; Araneae; Eresidae
Description: mediator of RNA polymerase II transcription subunit 18-like, transcript variant X1
Source: RNAcentral
AUGGAAUCUGUCACGACUGUAAGAAGAAAUUUUAAUAUAUCUCCACAACAAGAGUUUAUAAUGCAGGGUAGUAUAAUGGACACUUCUUGUGAAGUAUUACUUCAUAGAUUACGAGGCCUAUGUGAUAAUGCUGAUGAACCUCCCGAAACAUUUCAUGAUUAUGAAAUGGUGUUUCAGAUACGUGGACCCACUGGAACACCUAUGGUUGUGAAAGCAAGACAAGCCCUUGAUCAUCCUGAGAUGCCAUGGCAUCUGAAGUACUCUGGGCAACCUGAAAUCGGAGAUAAAAACAGAGCUGCAUUAAUUCGCAGUUGUAUUGAUGUAGAUACGUCAAGUAACAUUGUACAGUUCCUUAAUGAACUUGGAUUUAGACUAGAAUAUGAAUAUGUUUUAAAAGGUUUCAUGUUCAGAAAAGGGAGGAUGAAGGUGAUAGUUGCCAAAGUAUGUCGACUACUACAACUGAAUAAUCCAGAUAGUAUUGAGCCUGUCUCCCAAUCCUAUUUGGUUGAACUGACUGUUGUUGCUCCUGCGGGUCAACUUUCCUGAUGUAUCAUUCACUACUUCUGCUCUUGAAUGAGACUUCACUACGGAAUCAAAAUUGUGGAUGUUUUAUCUCUAGGCUUUAAGGAAGCAAUUGCCGAUGAAAUCAAAGCAUUUUCAGAGCAGCUUAAACCAU